This 719-nucleotide ribosomal RNA is filed under the name uncultured bacterium. RNAcentral describes it as "bacterial SSU rRNA". It matches the Rfam family "Bacterial small subunit ribosomal RNA", at positions 62 to 781 of the family's 1533-position model. The record is from RNAcentral.
UCGAGCGAAGCACUUUGGUCAGAUUCUUCGGAUGAAGGCUUUAGUGACUGACCGGCGGACGGGUGAGUAACGCGUGGGUAACCUGCCUCAUACAGGGGGAUAACAGUUAGAAAUGACUGCUAAUACCGCAUAAGACCACAGAGCCGCAUGGCCCGGUGGUAAAAACUCCGGUGGUAUGAGAUGGACCCGCGUCUGAUUAGCUGGUUGGUGGGGUAACGGCCUACCAAGGCGACGAUCAGUAGCCGACCUGAGAGGGUGACCGGCCACAUUGGGACUGAGACACGGCCCAAACUCCUACGGGAGGCAGCAGUGGGGAAUAUUGCACAAUGGGCGAAAGCCUGAUGCAGCGACGCCGCGUGAAGGAUGAAGUAUUUCGGUAUGUAAACUUCUAUCAGCAGGGAAGAAAAUGACGGUACCUGACUAAGAAGCCCCGGCUAACUACGUGCCAGCAGCCGCGGUAAUACGUAGGGGGCAAGCGUUAUCCGGAUUUACUGGGUGUAAAGGGAGCGUAGACGGCGAUGCAAGCCAGAUGUGAAAGCCCGGGGCUCAACCCCGGGACUGCAUUUGGAACUGUGUGGCUGGAGUGUCGGAGAGGCAAGUGGAAUUCCUAGUGUAGCGGUGAAAUGCGUAGAUAUUAGGAGGAACACCAGUGGCGAAGGCGGCUUGCUGGACGAUGACUGACGUUGAGGCUCGAAAGCGUGGGGAGCAAACAGGAUUAG